Molecule: ribosomal RNA, 468 nt
Filed under: uncultured bacterium
Lineage: Bacteria
Description: partial 16S ribosomal RNA
Rfam family: Bacterial small subunit ribosomal RNA
Source: RNAcentral
GACGAACGCUGGCGGCGUGCUUAACACAUGCAAGUCGAACGGAAAGACCCUGCUAUUGUGGGGUGCUCGAGUGGCGAACGGGUGAGUAACACGUGAGUAACCUGACCUUGACUUUGGGAUAGCUUCAGGAAAGUGGGGCUAAUACCGUAUAGGAUCUCCUGCUGCAUGGUGGGGGUUGGAAAGUUUCGGCGGUUGUGGAUGGACUCGCGGCUGAUCAGCUUGUUGGUUGGGUAGUGGCUUACCAAGCGUUUGACGGGUAGCCCGCCUGAGAGGGUGACCGGGCACCAUGCGACUGAGAUACGGACCAGAGUGGAACGGGGGGCAGCAGUGGGAAAUAUUGCCCAGUGGGCGGGAGUCUGUUGCGACAGCGCUGCGUUCGGGAUGACGGCCUUUGGGUUGUAAACAGCUUUAGCUUGUGACGACGCGUGUGUGACGGUACUGGGUAAAGAAGCACCGGCUAACUACGUG